AUUGAACGCUGGCGGCAUGCCUUACACAUGCAAGUCGAACGGCAGCGGACCUUCGGGUGCCGGCGAGUGGCGAACGGGUGAGUAAUGUAUCGGAACGUACCUUUCAGUGGGGGAUAACGUAGCGAAAGUUACGCUAAUACCGCAUAUUCUGUGAGCAGGAAAGCAGGGGAUCGCAAGACCUUGCGCUGAUUGAGCGGCCGAUAUCAGAUUAGCUAGUUGGUGAGGUAAAGGCUCACCAAGGCGACGAUCUGUAGCGGGUCUGAGAGGAUGAUCCGCCACACUGGAACUGAGACACGGUCCAGACUCCUACGGGAGGCAGCAGUGGGGAAUUUUGGACAAUGGGCGCAAGCCUGAUCCAGCCAUGCCGCGUGAGUGAAGAAGGCCUCGGUUGUAAGA
This 396-nucleotide ribosomal RNA is filed under the name uncultured bacterium. RNAcentral's name for it is "bacterial SSU rRNA". It matches the Rfam family "Bacterial small subunit ribosomal RNA", at positions 30 to 430 of the family's 1533-position model. The record is from RNAcentral.